UUCAUUUUUAAAAUAGGCAUU
Molecule: microRNA, 21 nt
Filed under: Glycine max (soybean)
Lineage: Eukaryota; Viridiplantae; Streptophyta; Magnoliopsida; Fabales; Fabaceae
Also listed under: 1 other name
Description: gma-miR1514a-5p
Source: miRBase by way of RNAcentral